Molecule: ribosomal RNA, 465 nt
Filed under: uncultured Klebsiella sp.
Lineage: Bacteria; Pseudomonadati; Pseudomonadota; Gammaproteobacteria; Enterobacterales; Enterobacteriaceae
Description: bacterial SSU rRNA
Rfam family: Bacterial small subunit ribosomal RNA
Source: RNAcentral
CCUACGGGGGGCUGCAGUGGGGAAUAUUGCACAACGGGCGCAAGCCUGAUGCAGCCAUGCCGCGUGUGUGAAGAAGGCCUUCGGGUUGUAAAGCACUUUCAGCGGGGAGGAAGGCGGUGAGGUUAAUAACCUCAUCGAUUGACGUUACCCGCAGAAGAAGCACCGGCUAACUCCGUGCCAGCAGCCGCGGUAAUACGGAGGGUGCAAGCGUUAAUCGGAAUUACUGGGCGUAAAGCGCACGCAGGCGGUCUGUCAAGUCGGAUGUGAAAUCCCCGGGCUCAACCUGGGAACUGCAUUCGAAACUGGCAGGCUAGAGUCUUGUAGAGGGGGGUAGAAUUCCAGGUGUAGCGGUGAAAUGCGUAGAGAUCUGGAGGAAUACCGGUGGCGAAGGCGGCCCCCUGGACAAAGACUGACGCUCAGGUGCGAAAGCGUGGGGAGCAAACAGGAUUAGAUACCCCAGUAGUC